Molecule: ribosomal RNA, 35 nt
Filed under: Paphiopedilum lowii
Lineage: Eukaryota; Viridiplantae; Streptophyta; Magnoliopsida; Asparagales; Orchidaceae
Description: partial 18S ribosomal RNA
Source: RNAcentral
UGGUUUCGGUAGGUGAACCUGCGGAAGGAUCAUUG